AAACCCUUACAUAUAUAAGCUACUACCUCCUUAUCCUUGAGUUCUAAGGAGAUAGGAUUUCGAGUCUGGUUGAUGAACUGCGGCUGUGUGAUCAGAGCUUGAUUAGUAGCCAUGGGUGGAUCUUGUUGUCUUGACAGACU
Molecule: small nucleolar RNA, 140 nt
Filed under: Corchorus capsularis
Lineage: Eukaryota; Viridiplantae; Streptophyta; Magnoliopsida; Malvales; Malvaceae
Description: snoRNA Plant_U3
Source: RNAcentral